UCAGGUACUAGGAGCAGCAGAAUAAGAAACCCUUAAAGAUUGCUGCACGUGCAUGAGAGUAGCCUACUAGAUUUUUAAAGACAGUGUAAACAGGUGCCUGGGGAGUUGCCGAGGUUACCUGAGUGGCACGUUUGAGCACUGCAAUGAUCCUCAUCUCUGUAUAAUAUAGCCUGUGAUGCUUUAUUUAUGGGAAACACAGAUGCUUCCCAAGCCCCAUCUUCGGUAGCGGCUAUCAUUCCCAGGUCCCAAACAUGGCUCUCCAGUUUGUCUCCUUUGUGAGAUAGGGUGCUGAAGGGAGUGAUGAGUGAAUCGUUUCCAUGGCUUUUGUCAGGAUUUCAAGUUCCCAGAUGGAAAGUUAACCAGGUUAGAAGAGAGCUACUUAAGGCACUAUUGAAAAGAGUGAAGGGGGAAAAAAAAAAAAGUAUGUGAAGGAAAGCAAGUGUGUGAAGUGGUUGUCUGUUUUUUUUUUUUUUUUGUGGUGUAAGAUACUGUGAAAAAGGAACAAGACAUUCAAGUUUCUCCCCUAUUCAUUUGCUUGCUGUUUGUGCUUUCUGGACACCUCCUCCUGAAUUCUACAUAUUAUUUUUAAUUUAGAGGAAAAUGUACAAGUGCAAAUGGACUCUAAUUUUUGUUGUUGUUAUUGUUUAUAUUUGGAAAUGAAAUAUAUGUUAAAAAAAGAGCUUGUUUAACCCUAUGUGCUCAUAUAUUCCUGUUACAGCUCUUGUAAGUUACCACUGUGUUCCUUUUUCAGAAGGCUUCUUGUCUAGAUCUGAUUUCUGAAAUCAACUUUAGUCAUAUCUCCAUUUUGAAACAGUAAAUUGGGAUGGUUACGAAUUGUCAGAUUGUGAGCUGGCACUGCUGAAAUGCAAUAGUAAAAAAAAAAAAGAGAAAAAAAAAAGAAAAAAAAAAAAGAAAAAAGAUUUGCCUCUUCAGUCUGAUCAGAACGAGCAAUCAGUGUUCGUGGGACAACACGUUUCAACAGUGAGAUUUCUUGCCGAAGAUCUGUAAACUGCUUGGGGAAGUAAGUUAACAAUGAAGUAAUCUAAUGAUUAAGUGUUAUAGCAUGACAUUAGCAAAUAGUAAUACCUUGACAUACAGUAGUAGAAAAGAUGAUUGAUUUGUAGGGCUGUUAUGUAUGACUAAUCUAAGGGUAUGUCAAAAUAAUGUUUUCUGGCAGGAAAAACCACAGAGAUCUGUAGUUCAUGGUAGCAGUAAAGAGAUAAUGUUCAUUGCAGAAACUACAUGAGACAAUAAACAAGUUUUGUGGAGCAUUCAACGAGGAAAUGAAGUUAUAAAUUUUACACACAAAUACAUCUCUUCCCUGAAGAUAAAUGUGAUCAAAAUGAAUAAAUUUCAACUUAAAAUGCUUUACUGUGUUCAAGUACUCGGAGAUUGCAGGGUCUGAGAGUAUUGUGGAUAGUUCAGAUCACAUUGCAGACAGAUUAGAAACAAGGUUGUGAAGGGUUAAGGUGUGGAGAAAGCAGGUGAAAUUUCAUAGGCUUUCUCCAGCUGGGGGUUGGUACACUAGUUGGUACAUAGCCUAGUGGCUGAAUUAAUAGCUAAGGUGAAUAAGUGCCUGUCCAUGUCCUUUGCCUCUGUUUAUAAACUGCUUGUCAUCUCCUGCCCCUUGCAGCAAGCUAGUAUGAUAGCGAGGAUCUGUUAGCAUUAUUAUAAAUUAGCUUUUUGGGCUUUGUAAUGUGUUGAGUAAUUCUUGUUGCUUUUUUCCCCAUUUAUCUUUUGCCAUCGAUAGCUUUGUCAGUAAGCAGGCAAGUUUGGGAUUUCCUCUUUUUGUCAGUUCAGGUUCAUGUAACAUGGCUUUUACACUUGAUAUUUCUACACAUAGUCCUGGUUAUACAACUUCUGUGUAUUUACACAGAGUUGAGCUGAUUGUUGUAAUUUGAAGGGAG
Non-coding RNA from Phasianus colchicus (ring-necked pheasant), 1907 nucleotides. The record is from RefSeq and is a predicted model, not a curated record. NCBI's taxonomy places the organism in Eukaryota, Metazoa, Chordata, Aves, Galliformes, Phasianidae.